GUAGGGAAUAUUGGGCAAUGGAUGCAAGUCUGACCCAGCCAUCCCGCGUGCCGGAAGAAGGCCCUCAGGGUUGUAAACGGCUUUUGACGGUGAAGAAUCGACAGGAUGCGUCCUGUUUUGACGGUAGCCGUUGAAUAAGCACCGGCUAACUCCGUGCCAGCAGCCGCGGUAAUACGGAGGGUGCGAGCGUUGUCCGGAUUUAUUGGGUUUAAAGGGUGCGUAGGCUGGAAGGUCAGUAAGCGGUGAAAAGAUGACGCUUAACGAUAGUCUUGCCGCAGAUACUUCCUUUCUUGGAUGAGGAGGAGGCCACUGGAACGGAUGGUGUAGCGGUGAAAUGCAUAGAUAUCAUCCAGAACACCGAUUGCGAAGGCAGGUGGCUGUACCUUAAUCGACGCUGAUGCACGAAAGCAUGGGGAGCAAACAGGAUUAGAUACCCGGGUAGUCC
This 445-nucleotide ribosomal RNA is filed under the name uncultured bacterium. Its description in RNAcentral is "partial 16S ribosomal RNA". It matches the Rfam family "Bacterial small subunit ribosomal RNA", at positions 354 to 796 of the family's 1533-position model. The record is from RNAcentral.